This 549-nucleotide ribosomal RNA is filed under the name uncultured bacterium. RNAcentral's name for it is "partial 16S ribosomal RNA". It matches the Rfam family "Bacterial small subunit ribosomal RNA", at positions 355 to 895 of the family's 1533-position model. The record is from RNAcentral.
UGGGGAAUUUUGGACAAUGGGCGAAAGCCUGAUCCAGCAGUGCCGCGUGUGUGAAGAAGGCCUUCGGGUUGUAAAGCACUUUUGUCCGGGAAAGAAAUCCUUGGCUCUAAUACAGUCGGGGGAUGACGGUACCGGAAGAAUAAGCACCGGCUAACUACGUGCCAGCAGCCGCGGUAAUACGUAGGGUGCAAGCGUUAAUCGGAAUUACUGGGCGUAAAGCGUGCGCAGGCGGUUUGCUAAGACCGAUGUGAAAUCCCCGGGCUCAACCUGGGAACUGCAUUGGUGACUGGCAGGCUAGAGUAUGGCAGAGGGGGGUAGAAUUCCACGUGUAGCAGUGAAAUGCGUAGAGAUGUGGAGGAAUACCGAUGGCGAAGGCAGCCCCCUGGGCCAAUACUGACGCUCAUGCACGAAAGCGUGGGGAGCAAACAGGAUUAGAUACCCUGGUAGUCCACGCCCUAAACGAUGUCAACUAGUUGUUGGGGGAUUCAUUUCCUUAGUAACGUAGCUAACGCGUGAAGUUGACCGCCUGGGGAGUACGGUCGCAAGAUU